CUGCCCGCUCUGCCCUCCCUGCGGCUGCCCCAGCCUUUUUCACUCCACACCAGGCAGGGUGCGAGGAGUCCGGGUGGAGGAGCAGAGCCAAGAGCGAGCUUCUGACAGGCACCGGCACCUACUCAGACGUUCCUGUGUGGCAUCCAUGGGGUCCCCCCAAGAGACCCCCUGCUCCUGCUGGCAGGACCCCUACACUGCUCCCAUCUGGACUCACGGGGAUCCCUUUGAGGAUUUCUCACUGGGAUUUCUGAAAGACGGCCAAGCUUCAAUCCGCAGGUGAGAAGGAGGCCGGCCUCUGCUUCCUGCUCUCGCCCCUCUUCCUGAAGCUCAGCAGUUUAAAAGGAGGAGAAGAGAAAAGGAAGAAAGAGAAAACACAGGUAAACCACCACCAUUUCAGAACAUCACGCCCUAUGCCCCUCCUCCGGUCUCUACUUCGGUGCCAGCCCCUCCUACCCCUAGGGGCGAGUCAGGGUUGUAGCUGAGCUCAGACUCUGAGGAGGGGUUGUGAGUCCCUUGGGGCAGAGUCCGGCCCCCUCCAACCCAGUCCCCAGCACAGGCUUGAACUGAGGGAAUUGCAGAUGCAUGGAUUUAGUAAAGAUUUUUGUAACAGCCAGAAAAAUCUUCAUGAAAGAGACACAGAAACCAUGAGAGACAGAACAAACAAACAAAUAAAGACUCACGA
RNAcentral lists this long non-coding RNA (682 nucleotides) under Fukomys damarensis (Damara mole-rat). RNAcentral's name for it is "lncRNA (ENSFDAG00000029471.1)". The record is from RNAcentral. Lineage: Eukaryota; Metazoa; Chordata; Mammalia; Rodentia; Bathyergidae.